RNAcentral lists this ribosomal RNA (458 nucleotides) under Streptomyces sp. SID5475. Its description in RNAcentral is "bacterial SSU rRNA". It matches the Rfam family "Bacterial small subunit ribosomal RNA", at positions 1089 to 1533 of the family's 1533-position model. Lineage: Bacteria; Bacillati; Actinomycetota; Actinomycetes; Kitasatosporales; Streptomycetaceae. The record is from RNAcentral.
GCAACGAGCGCAACCCUUGUUCUGUGUUGCCAGCAUGCCUUUCGGGGUGAUGGGGACUCACAGGAGACUGCCGGGGUCAACUCGGAGGAAGGUGGGGACGACGUCAAGUCAUCAUGCCCCUUAUGUCUUGGGCUGCACACGUGCUACAAUGGCCGGUACAAUGAGCUGCGAUACCGCGAGGUGGAGCGAAUCUCAAAAAGCCGGUCUCAGUUCGGAUUGGGGUCUGCAACUCGACCCCAUGAAGUCGGAGUCGCUAGUAAUCGCAGAUCAGCAUUGCUGCGGUGAAUACGUUCCCGGGCCUUGUACACACCGCCCGUCACGUCACGAAAGUCGGUAACACCCGAAGCCGGUGGCCCAACCCGUAAGGGAGGGAAUCGUCGAAGGUGGGACUGGCGAUUGGGACGAAGUCGUAACAAGGUAGCCGUACCGGAAGGUGCGGCUGGAUCACCUCCUUUCUA